Molecule: ribosomal RNA, 501 nt
Filed under: uncultured bacterium
Lineage: Bacteria
Description: partial 16S ribosomal RNA
Rfam family: Bacterial small subunit ribosomal RNA
Source: RNAcentral
AUUGAACGCUGGCGGCAUGCCUUACACAUGCAAGUCGAACGGCAGCACGGGUGCUUGCACCUGGUGGCGAGUGGCGAACGGGUGAGUAAUACAUCGGAACGUACCUUAUCGUGGGGGAUAACGCAGCGAAAGCUGUGCUAAUACCGCAUACGCCCUGAGGGGGAAAGCGGGGGAUCGAAAGACCUCGCGCGAUUAGAGCGGCCGAUGCCUGAUUAGCUUGUUGGUGGGGUAAAAGCCCACCAAGGCGACGAUCAGUAACUGGUCUGAGAGGACGAUCAGCCACACUGGGACUGAGACACGGCCCAGACUCCUACGGGAGGCAGCAGUGGGGAAUUUUGGACAAUGGGGGCAACCCUGAUCCAGCAAUGCCGCGUGAGUGAAGAAGGCCUUCGGGUUGUAAAGCUCUCUUGUCAGGGAAGAAACACCGGCUCUAACACAGUCCGGGAAUGACGGUACCUGAAGAAUAAGCACCGGCUAACUACGUGCCAGCAGCCGCGGUAA